GCACUUAAGGUGCGGAGCCGUAGCGAAAGCGAGUUUUAACUGAGCGUUCAGUUACUUGACGUAGACCCGAAACCGGGCGACCUACCCAUGAGCAGGAUGAAGCGAAAGUAAAAUUUCGUGGAGGUCCGAACCCACGAGCGUUGAAAAGCUCGGGGAUGACUUGUGGGUAGCGGUGAAAUUCCAAUCGAGCCCGGAGAUAGCUGGUUCUCCCCGAAAUAGCUUUAGGGCUAGCCUCAAGGUGAGAGAUACGGAGGUAGAGCACUGAAUGUCCUAGGGGGUAUUGCACCUACCGAAGACUAUCAAACUCCGAAUGCCGUCAUCUUAUACUUGGGAGUCAGACUGUGGGUGAUAAGAUUCAUAGUCGAAAGGGCAACAGCCCAGAUCGUCAGCUAAGGUCCCUAAAUGUAAGUUAAGUGGUAAAGGAUGUGGGAUUGCACAGACAACCAGGAUGUUGGCUUAGAAGCAGCCACUCAUUCAAAGAGUGCGUAAUAGCUCACUGGUCGAGUGAUCCUGCGCCGAAGAUUUCCGGGGCUAAAACUUACUACCGAAGCUACGGCAUCAGUAAUGAUGGGUAGGGGAGCUUCCCAUACGGGUUGAAGCAUGACCGUAAGGACAUGUGGACAGUAUGGGAGUGAGAAUGUUGGCAUGAGUAGCGAGAUGUGGGUGAGAAUCCCACAGGCCGUAAACCCAAGGUUUCCAGGGGAAGGUUCGUCCGCCCUGGGUUAGUCGGGACCUAAGCUGAGGCCGAAAGGCGUAGGUGAUGGACAACAGGUUGAUAUUCCUGUAC
This 787-nucleotide ribosomal RNA is filed under the name Clostridioides difficile. Its description in RNAcentral is "partial 23S ribosomal RNA". It matches the Rfam family "Bacterial large subunit ribosomal RNA", at positions 650 to 1444 of the family's 2925-position model. The record is from RNAcentral. Lineage: Bacteria; Bacillati; Bacillota; Clostridia; Peptostreptococcales; Peptostreptococcaceae.